AUUUACAACCAAAUAACCGGAAAUGUGGCCAAUCUUAUCAGAUCUCAGAAGCUAAACAGGGUUGGGCCUGAAUAGGGCUUGGGUGGGAGACCAUCGUGCACAAGUCAGGCUCUCAUAGGCC
Molecule: ribosomal RNA, 121 nt
Filed under: Petromyzon marinus (sea lamprey)
Lineage: Eukaryota; Metazoa; Chordata; Hyperoartia; Petromyzontiformes; Petromyzontidae
Source: RNAcentral